AACCCACUGUGAACCUUACCUCAGUUGCCUCGGCGGGAACGCCCCGGCCGCCUGCCCCCGCGCCGGCGCCGGACCCAGGCGCCCGCCGCAGGGACCCCAAACUCUCUUGCAUUACGCCCAGCGGGCGGAAUUUCUUCUCUGAGUUGCACAAGCAAAAACAAAUGAAUCAAAACUUUCAACAACGGAUCUCUUGGUUCUGGCAUCGAUGAAGAACGCAGCGAAAUGCGAUAAGUAAUGUGAAUUGCAGAAUUCAGUGAAUCAUCGAAUCUUUGAACGCACAUUGCGCCCGCCAGCAUUCUGGCGGGCAUGCCUGUUCGAGCGUCAUUUCAACCCUCGAGCCCCCCCGGGGGCCUCGGUGUUGGGGGACGGCACACCAGCCGCCCCCGAAAUGCAGUGGCGACCCCGCCGCAGCCUCCCCUGCGUAGUAGCACACACCUCGCACCGGAGCGCGGAGGCGGUCACGCCGUAAAACGCCCAACUUUCUUAGAGUUGACCUCGGAUCAGGUAGGAAUACCCGCUGAACUUAAGCAUAUCAAUAAGCGGAGGAA
Molecule: unclassified non-coding RNA, 548 nt
Filed under: Purpureocillium lilacinum
Lineage: Eukaryota; Fungi; Ascomycota; Sordariomycetes; Hypocreales; Ophiocordycipitaceae
Description: sequence contains ITS1, 5.8S rRNA gene, ITS2
Rfam family: 5.8S ribosomal RNA (bases 171-324)
Source: RNAcentral